CUUUUUCUACUUCAUCUAGCUGGUCUCGAAGCUGUUGACGGGCUAGUUCCUUGGCUUCUAAGGCUCUUUUGAUAGUAAGAAGAGAAUCUCUAUGCAAACUGUUCUGUUGAACCUGCUUUAGUUGGUCAUUGAGUAAUUGCUUUUCUGGAAUCAACUUUCCAAGCAUCUGCUGAGACUCCUGUAGCUGCUGUUGCAAAUGGGUGAUUUCUGCAAUUCUCAGUUCUCUAGAUUUAUUUGUACUUUCAAUUUCUUGUCUUUGGGUAGACAGCCGACAUCUGAUAUCCUGAAGCUUUCCUUCCAACUGAUUUUUUUUAUCAUUUAGAGCUUCCAGCUCAAAUUCUAAAGUCUUCUUCUUUGCCUUCAGAACAACGAUGUCCUCUUGUUCUCUGUUUCUUUGAUUUAGCAGUUCUUGCCGACGAUUACGUUCCCAUUCAAGUUGCCUUUGCCUCUCAAGUUCCCGUUUUGCAGCCUCUCUUCUUUCUAUUUCUUUCCUCCUUUCCUCUUCUCUCUGCCGUUCCAAUUCCCGUUGUUUCUCCAACUGUUUCUCUAGCUCCAGCUGUCUUUUCCUUUCUUGCUCUUGUCGUUCACGUUCCUUCCUUUCUUGCUCUGCCCGUUCCAGCUGUGCUAGACGCUCUUGCUCUUUGCGUUGCUGUUCCAGGAGAGCCUGCCUCCGUUUUUCAAGUUCUAGAUUGCCACGUUCAAAGUUCUCACGUUUUUUAUCUUCAAAUGUAACUGGCAAUUUCUUUUCCAGUUGCUGCUGUUCUUCUUCUAAUGCUGGUUCUUCUGGUAACCUUUGGUCUACAGAUACUGAACUUACAGCAGAUACACCACUACCAGAGCGUACUCUUCUGUCAAUGAAAGGAUAAUUCCAAGUUGUUUAAAAGAACAUAUGCCUGUCAAAUUUAUUGAUAAUUUAAUGAUGCAAUCAUAAAUUAAUUGCAAUGAUGUAAUGGUUAGUGAUAUUUAAUUCUCAUUGUCUGGAGUGUUUUACUCUGCAGUUGUCAUUAAGAUAAUA
Molecule: long non-coding RNA, 1015 nt
Filed under: Gallus gallus (chicken)
Lineage: Eukaryota; Metazoa; Chordata; Aves; Galliformes; Phasianidae
Source: RNAcentral